RNAcentral lists this transfer RNA (67 nucleotides) under Aspidoscelis marmoratus (Marbled whiptail). Its description in RNAcentral is "tRNA-Ala". It matches the Rfam family "tRNA". Rfam says of the family: Transfer RNA (tRNA) molecules are approximately 80 nucleotides in length. Their secondary structure includes four short double-helical elements and three loops (D, anti-codon, and T loops). Further hydrogen bonds mediate the characteristic L-shaped molecular structure. tRNAs have two regions of fundamental functional importance: the anti-codon, which is responsible for specific mRNA codon recognition, and the 3' end, to which the tRNAs corresponding amino acid is attached (by aminoacyl-tRNA synthetases). tRNAs cope with the degeneracy of the genetic code in two manners: having more than one tRNA (with a specific anti-codon) for a particular amino acid; and 'wobble' base-pairing, i.e. permitting non-standard base-pairing at the 3rd anti-codon position. Lineage: Eukaryota; Metazoa; Chordata; Lepidosauria; Squamata; Teiidae. The record is from RNAcentral. RNAcentral also lists the same sequence under 4 other names.
GAGGCUUUAGCUUAAUUAAAGUGUCUGAGUUGCAUUCAGGAGAUGUGUUUAAAUGACGCAAGUCUUA